AAGACAGGCAGCUGAGGAGGACUGGCUGACUUUCCCCGGGAUGGAAGAGAGAGGAUGAAGUCUGCAGGCUGCUCCAGGAAUGGGGUGUUCACAGCUUGGCAUGUGUAUGGAAAUUAAAGGAGAGCUUGUAGGAGCUGGAUCCAACCAGUUCCCCAGUUAACAGCUCUUCAUGGGAGAUUUCCUCCAGCAGCAACCUCAGUUCCUGGUGGAAACUGAUCACGAUGCAUCCUAGAGUAGAAUUCAGCUCUGACACUGCAGACGGCCAAUCCUCUGUGUGGAGGGGCUCUGUCCUUACAAGAUGGCUCUAGGUUAAGAUCUGGUCUCAAGUCCAGACCUCUUGUACUUCUGGACAGCCAGCCCUAUAAGUCAAGAAUGCUACAAGCCCCUCUUCAGAGCUGUUAAUUUGCCAGGCUGGUUCACAGGACUCAAGCCAAGCACCUGCCCACAUCUGUGCUUCAUUAUAACGCAUCCAACACAGUGGCAGCCAGAUGCAACAGUGAGACGAGCCCUGCUCUUUGCCUAGGAGACUGACCUGUGCAGACCACAUCAGAGGGUUCGUCUGGCUCCAGUUAGUUUGGGCCUUGGAGGAGCCUGACAGGGAAACAAUAGGAUGGAGGAACUGGGUGCCUAUCACCACGGCUACCUUUCUGCGAGGUCACAGUGGCCCAGCCUUUCCUGAGGCCAGCAGUCCUCUUGAGAAUCUCAUAUAGCCCAGGCUGCCCUGGGACUCACUACAUAGCUGAAGAUGAGCAACUGACUUCAGCCUUCCAACUGCUGUGAUUUGAAGUCAGUGACACUUUUAAUAAAGACAUA
Molecule: non-coding RNA, 813 nt
Organism: Mus caroli (Ryukyu mouse)
Lineage: Eukaryota; Metazoa; Chordata; Mammalia; Rodentia; Muridae
Source: RefSeq, a predicted model, not a curated record